AUGCGAAACUGUGAAAACAAUGUAAUCAUCGAAGAGGUGAACAAGGGCCUGAACCCUGGAAUGAUAGUCCUGCUUGUGGUUGCGACCACCCUGCUGCUUUUCUUUGUUGGGAACUAUGCGCUGUACCUGUAUGCGCAGAAGACGCUCCCUCCGAAGAAGAAGAAGCCAGUCUCCAAGAAGAAGCUCAAGAGGGAAAAGCUGAAGCAAGGGGUUUCUGCACCAGGGGAGUGA
This 231-nucleotide ribosomal RNA is filed under the name Triticum aestivum (bread wheat). RNAcentral describes it as "partial small subunit ribosomal RNA". The record is from RNAcentral. Lineage: Eukaryota; Viridiplantae; Streptophyta; Magnoliopsida; Poales; Poaceae.